Non-coding RNA from Pocillopora verrucosa, 685 nucleotides. The record is from RefSeq and is a predicted model, not a curated record. Lineage: Eukaryota; Metazoa; Cnidaria; Anthozoa; Scleractinia; Pocilloporidae.
AGGGCAUGUAAACCCAAAAAUACAUGUUUUUCUUAUACUAUGUAAAAAGUGGCGUAGAAAACGAAUUUGAAAUUAGUUUUGUCCAAUUCGACUUAUUUUAGGAGAAAAUCGGCAUUUUCAACUGAAAUUCCAUUUCCGGUAAAAACAAUAGCGAGAAGUCGUGACGUAAGCGGUGGAACCAAAAUAUUGCGCAACACAUAUUCCCCAGUAGAACUGGUGUGGGAGUUCGUGUAAGUAGCGGUAGUUCUGAAGAUGUUUUUUCAGAAGAUAGCGACUCGAAUGUCUUAAGCUUAGUAAAUGACAGCGCUGGGGAUAAUCCAGAAUCUUCAGGAGAGUCUGGGCCACGUCCUUAACAAUAUGAGCCGCGUAGGGUUCACCGAAGCGAUCCGCACGAAGACAGUACAGAACAUGUCGACAGCGAUGCGACCGUCUCGGAAACUCAGACUGGAAAUUUCGCUAAAUUGCCUACAGAUAGCUUGUUCGUUGGUGUUGGGGAUAUCUCGGCAAACACUUUAGGGUCGCUGUGCUAUCUUGUGCGGUAAACAAUAUCCUUCAUCUCAGAAGCAUUUCCAUCGAUAAACAAGUUGUAUCAUGGUUUCUCAAAGGAAGCACCAAGCGGGGCUGGCUUGGAUUUUCUUAUAGAACAUAAGGGUUGAUUAUGGGAUCCUGCAUAGAAUUCUUUGUA